GGCGUGGUUCAAAGGUAGAAAUGUUUUGCACAAUCUCACGAGAAAAUAUGAGAUUUACCGAUUAUUGUUUACAUUGCACAAAAUGAGAACCGAAUCGAUUCUGAUUUCGCGAAUCUGAUUGGGAAAAUAUUUUUUUUUUCGUCUAACGUUACAUCAGCUAAUCUUUCUAAAAGGAGACCUUAGGCUGGAACGGGAUUUAAAGAGCCAAUUUAUCAUUCCAGGACUUGAUCCCGGUUCGGUGCUGACCCAGAGCAGCGAAGACGAACAAGAGAAACAAAAUAUCUCAAAAACAACACCACAAUUAACUAACUUCGAAGUGAAUCGAAUAAUUUUGGAUGGGAAAUCAUUAGAUGUGGAUCUGCAGCGAAGUUCCACAUGCCUCAGAUCUGGUAGAAAAGAUAUAUCGCACAAGGCCAGCGGAGAAAGGCGGGUUCGGGAGCUCAAGGCCUCGGAAGUCUCGCAGUCCUCGGACUAUAGUAGGACGCGGAGCUGGCGUCCCCUAGCAACACAGCAGGCACCGAGCGCAGGCGAGGGUCGGGGUUUCGGCUGAGGCCUAGCCCUGAGAUGUCGGGCUGAGACGGGAAGGGCGAGACGGGAGACCAGAGGAGGAGAACGGUCGAAGAAAGGAGCUCUAAUUAAUCGGAAAGCGGGAGAAAAGACCUCGAUAAAACAGCCAUGAUGGAGGAAUUGCACAGCUUGGAUCCUCGCAGGCAGGAGUUGCUGGAGGCCCGUUUCACAGGAGUCGGAGUUGCCAAGGGUUCUGGACACAACGAGUCAUCUAACCAGAGCUUGUGUAGCGUGGGCUCCCUCAGUGACAAAGAGCUGGAGGUUAGUACACAUUUGCUGUU
Non-coding RNA from Pimephales promelas (fathead minnow), 848 nucleotides. The record is from RefSeq and is a predicted model, not a curated record. NCBI's taxonomy places the organism in Eukaryota, Metazoa, Chordata, Actinopteri, Cypriniformes, Leuciscidae.